RNAcentral lists this ribosomal RNA (485 nucleotides) under uncultured bacterium. RNAcentral describes it as "bacterial SSU rRNA". It matches the Rfam family "Bacterial small subunit ribosomal RNA", at positions 501 to 985 of the family's 1533-position model. The record is from RNAcentral.
CUACGUGCCAGCAGCCGCGGUAAUACGUAGGGGGCAAGCGUUAUCCGGAUUUACUGGGUGUAAAGGGAGCGUAGACGGAAUGGCAAGUCUGAAGUGAAAUACCCGGGCUCAMCCUGGGAACUGCUUUGGAAACUGUUGUUCUAGAGUGUUGGAGAGGUAAGUGGAAUUCCUGGUGUAGCGGUGAAAUGCGUAGAUAUCAGGAAGAACACCGGAGGCGAAGGCGGCUUACUGGACAAUAACUGACGUUGAGGCUCGAAAGCGUGGGGAUCAAACAGGAUUAGAUACCCUGGUAGUCCACGCUGUAAACGAUGAAUACUAGGUGUCGGGGUGCAAAGCAUCUCGGUGCCGUCGCUAACGCAAUAAGUAUUCCACCUGGGGAGUACGUUCGCAAGGUUAAAACUCAAAUGAAUUGACGGGGGCCCGCACAAGCGGAGGAACAUGUGGUUUAAUUCGAUGAUACGCGAGGAACCUUACCCGGGAUUGAA